AUCCAUUUGUUAUUUCAACCAGUUUUAACCUGUAUUCACUUAUAUUUGAAGACCCGAGUCUUGAUGCAAACAGUGGUUAGGAACACAGAAAUCCACUCGAACUGUGUGUGUGCGUGUUCGACGGAGCUUUUUUAUGGGUCGGCAGACGCGGGUUUUUGCCAUUUUUUUCAAGUUUUUGGUUCUCUACUUUCCCAUACCGUUGGUGGUUGACCUACUCAUUUUAUUUUCCACUUUUGUUAAGAUCCCAAUGUAAUUUCGUUUGACUUCGGAAGUCUACAAGCACCUCCAUUCAACAUUUCCAAAAUAUAGCACAUCAACUUUGAACAUUCUUAUAAUUUAC
Molecule: long non-coding RNA, 340 nt
Filed under: Nicotiana benthamiana
Lineage: Eukaryota; Viridiplantae; Streptophyta; Magnoliopsida; Solanales; Solanaceae
Description: long non-coding RNA (NBEN_LNC031183)
Source: RNAcentral